GAUGAACGCUGGCGGCGUGCCUAAUACAUGCAAGUCGAACGAAACUUCUCUAUCACCGUGUGCUUCUACUCACGCAAACAGAGUUGAAUGGCGAACGGGUGCUUCACACGUGUGCAACCUGACUUAAAGAGGCUGAUACUACUUGGAAAUAGGUGCUACUACCGCAUAACCAUAGUUACAGAAUGGUAACUAUGUAAAAGGUGGCUAUACUACCGCAUUUGGUUGGUCCCGUGGCGCGUUAGCUAGUUGGUAGGGUAAAGGCUUACCAAGGCAGUGAUCCGUAGCCGAAUGGAGUGGUUGGUCGGCCACAUUGGAACUGAGACACGGACCAUACUCCUGAGAGAGGCAGCAGUAGGGUAUGGUCCGCAGUAGGGGAGAGUCUGAUGGAGCAAGGCCGCGUGGGUGGAAGAGGUCUUCGGUGCGGAAAACCCUGUUGUUAGUUAAAAAAGGGCUUGGGAGGAACUGUUGACUGUGCGACGGUAUUGAGUCAGAAAGCCACGGCUAACUACGUG
This 512-nucleotide ribosomal RNA is filed under the name uncultured bacterium. RNAcentral's name for it is "partial 16S ribosomal RNA". It matches the Rfam family "Bacterial small subunit ribosomal RNA", at positions 28 to 507 of the family's 1533-position model. The record is from RNAcentral.